UACAGAGGUCUCAAGCGUUGUUCGGAUUCAUUGGGCGUAAAGGGUGCGUAGGCGGCGCGGUAAGUCGGGUGUGAAAUCUCGGGGCUUAACUCCGAAACUGCAUUCGAUACUGCCGUGCUUGAGGACUGGAGAGGAGACUGGAAUUUACGGUGUAGCGGUGAAAUGCGUAGAUAUCGUAAGGAAGACCAGUGGCGAAGGCGGGUCUCUGGGCCACACCUGACGCUGAGACGCGAAAGCUAGGGGAGCGAACAGG
This 253-nucleotide ribosomal RNA is filed under the name uncultured bacterium. RNAcentral's name for it is "partial 16S ribosomal RNA". It matches the Rfam family "Bacterial small subunit ribosomal RNA", at positions 524 to 776 of the family's 1533-position model. The record is from RNAcentral.